UACGGAGGAUGCGAGCGUUAUCCGGAUUCAUUGGGUUUAAAGGGUGCGUAGGCGGACUAUUAAGUCAGUGGUGAAAUCCUGCAGCUUAACUGCAGAACUGCCAUUGAUACUGAUAGCCUUGAGUUUGGUUAAGGUAGGCGGAAUGUGUAAUGUAGCGGUGAAAUGCUUAGAUAUUACACAGAACACCAAUUGCGUAGGCAGCUUACUGAGCCGACACUGACGCUGAGGCACGAAAGCGUGGGGAUCGAAC
Molecule: ribosomal RNA, 250 nt
Filed under: uncultured bacterium
Lineage: Bacteria
Description: partial 16S ribosomal RNA
Rfam family: Bacterial small subunit ribosomal RNA
Source: RNAcentral